GGGGGCAUAGCUCAGUGGUAAAGUGCAUGCCUAGAAUGUAUGAGCCCCUUGAUUUGGUCUCUGCCCCCA
This 69-nucleotide transfer RNA is filed under the name Fukomys damarensis (Damara mole-rat). It matches the Rfam family "tRNA". From Rfam's summary of the family: Transfer RNA (tRNA) molecules are approximately 80 nucleotides in length. The record is from Rfam by way of RNAcentral. Lineage: Eukaryota; Metazoa; Chordata; Mammalia; Rodentia; Bathyergidae.